Molecule: ribosomal RNA, 498 nt
Filed under: uncultured bacterium
Lineage: Bacteria
Description: partial 16S ribosomal RNA
Rfam family: Bacterial small subunit ribosomal RNA
Source: RNAcentral
ACUCAAAUGAAUUGACGGGGGCCCGCACAAGCGGAGGAGCAUGUGGUUUAAUUCGAUGGUACGCGAGGAACCUUACCUGGGCUUGAAAGACAAAUGACCGUCUCUGAAAGGAGAUCUUUCGCAAGAACAUUUGUCUAGGUGCUGCAUGGCUGUCGUCAGCUCGUGCCGUGAGGUGUCGGGUUAAGUCCCAUAACGAGCGCAACCCCUAUCAGUAGUUGCCAACAGGUAAUGCUGGGAACUCUACUGAAACUGCCUGCGCAAGCAGUGAGGAAGGAGGGGAUGACGUCAAGUCAGCACGGCCCUUACGUCCAGGGCUACACACGUGCUACAAUGGCCGGUACAGUGGGUUGCUACACAGCGAUGUGAUGCUAAUCUCUAAAACCGGUCCCAGUUCGGAUUGAAGUCUGCAAUUCGACUUCAUGAAGCUGGAUUCGCUAGUAAUCGGAUAUCAGCUACGAUCCGGUGAAUACGUUCCCGGGCCUUGUACACACCGCCCGU